AGAAUCAACGCUGGCGGCGUGCCUAACACAUGCAAGUCGAGCGCGAAAGGGGAGCAAUCCCCAAGUAGAGCGGCGAACGGGUGAGUAACGCGUGGGUAAUCUACCUCCGAGUGGGGAAUAACAGCGGGAAGCUGCUGCUAAUACCGCAUGACAUCGUCGAGCCUUCGGGCCUGACGAUCAAAGCCGGGGACCGCAAGGCCUGGCGCUUGGAGACGAGCCCGCGUCCGAUUAGCUAGUUGGCGGGGUAAUGGCCCACAAGGCUCCGAUCGGUA
RNAcentral lists this ribosomal RNA (272 nucleotides) under uncultured soil bacterium. RNAcentral describes it as "partial 16S ribosomal RNA". It matches the Rfam family "Bacterial small subunit ribosomal RNA", at positions 26 to 285 of the family's 1533-position model. The record is from RNAcentral.